CCUACGGGUGGCAGCAGUGAGGAAUAUUGGUCAAUGGGCGCGAGCCUGAACCAGCCAAGUCGCGUGAGGGAAGACGGUCCUAUGGAUUGUAAACCUCUUUUGCCGGGGAACAAAAGACGCCACGCGUGGCGUUCCGAGAGUACCCGAAGAACAAGCAUCGGCAAACUCCGUGCCAGAAGCCGCGGUAAUCCGGAGGAUGCGAGCGUUAUCCGGAUUUAUUGGGUUUAAAGGGUGCGCAGGCGGAAGAUGAAGGCAGCGUGAAAAUUGAGAGGCUCAACCUCUUCGAUCCGUUGAAACUGGUUAUCUUGAGUGAGUGAGAAGUAUGCGGAAUGCGUGGUGUAGCGGUGAAAUGCAUAGAUAUCACGCAGAACUCCGAUGGCGAAGGCAGCAUACCGGCGCUCAACUGACGCUCAUGCACGAAAGUGUGGGUAUCGAACAGGAUUAGAUACCCCUGUAGUC
RNAcentral lists this ribosomal RNA (459 nucleotides) under uncultured bacterium. Its description in RNAcentral is "partial 16S ribosomal RNA". It matches the Rfam family "Bacterial small subunit ribosomal RNA", at positions 338 to 795 of the family's 1533-position model. The record is from RNAcentral.